RNAcentral lists this ribosomal RNA (521 nucleotides) under uncultured bacterium. Its description in RNAcentral is "bacterial SSU rRNA". It matches the Rfam family "Archaeal small subunit ribosomal RNA", at positions 345 to 866 of the family's 1478-position model. The record is from RNAcentral.
AACCUCCGCAAUGUGAGAAAUCGCGACGGGGGGAUCCCAAGUGCCAUUCUUAACGGGAUGGCUUUUCUUAAGUGUAAAAGGCUUUUGGAAUAAGAGCUGGGCAAGACCGGUGCCAGCCGCCGCGGUAACACCGGCAGCUCUAGUGGUAGCUGUUUUUAUUGGGCCUAAAGCGUUCGUAGCCGGUUUGAUAAGUCACUGGUGAAAUCCUGUAGCUUAACUGUGGGAAUUGCUGGUGAUACUGUUGAACUUGAGGUCGGGAGAGGUUAGCGGUACUCCCAGGGUAGAGGUGAAAUUCUGUAAUCCUGGGAGGACCACCUGUGGCGAAGGCGGCUAACUGGAACGAACCUGACGGUGAGGGACGAAAGCUAGGGGCGCGAACCGGAUUAGAUACCCGGGUAGUCCUAGCCGUAAACGAUGCGGACUUGGUGUUGGGAUGGCUUUGAGCCGCUCCGGUGCCGAAGGGAAGCUGUUAAGUCCGCCGCCUGGGAAGUACGGUCGCAAGACUGAAACUUAAAGGAAUU